Molecule: ribosomal RNA, 1528 nt
Filed under: Salmonella enterica subsp. enterica serovar Infantis
Lineage: Bacteria; Pseudomonadati; Pseudomonadota; Gammaproteobacteria; Enterobacterales; Enterobacteriaceae
Description: bacterial SSU rRNA
Rfam family: Bacterial small subunit ribosomal RNA
Source: RNAcentral
AGAGUUUGAUCAUGGCUCAGAUUGAACGCUGGCGGCAGGCCUAACACAUGCAAGUCGAACGGUAGCACAGAGAGCUUGCUCUCGGGUGACGAGUGGCGGACGGGUGAGUAAUGUCUGGGAAACUGCCUGAUGGAGGGGGAUAACUACUGGAAACGGUGGCUAAUACCGCAUAACGUCGCAAGACCAAAGAGGGGGACCUUCGGGCCUCUUGCCAUCAGAUGUGCCCAGAUGGGAUUAGCUUGUUGGUGAGGUAACGGCUCACCAAGGCGACGAUCCCUAGCUGGUCUGAGAGGAUGACCAGCCACACUGGAACUGAGACACGGUCCAGACUCCUACGGGAGGCAGCAGUGGGGAAUAUUGCACAAUGGGCGCAAGCCUGAUGCAGCCAUGCCGCGUGUAUGAAGAAGGCCUUCGGGUUGUAAAGUACUUUCAGCGGGGAGGAAGGUGUUGUGGUUAAUAACCACAGCAAUUGACGUUACCCGCAGAAGAAGCACCGGCUAACUCCGUGCCAGCAGCCGCGGUAAUACGGAGGGUGCAAGCGUUAAUCGGAAUUACUGGGCGUAAAGCGCACGCAGGCGGUCUGUCAAGUCGGAUGUGAAAUCCCCGGGCUCAACCUGGGAACUGCAUUCGAAACUGGCAGGCUUGAGUCUUGUAGAGGGGGGUAGAAUUCCAGGUGUAGCGGUGAAAUGCGUAGAGAUCUGGAGGAAUACCGGUGGCGAAGGCGGCCCCCUGGACAAAGACUGACGCUCAGGUGCGAAAGCGUGGGGAGCAAACAGGAUUAGAUACCCUGGUAGUCCACGCCGUAAACGAUGUCUACUUGGAGGUUGUGCCCUUGAGGCGUGGCUUCCGGAGCUAACGCGUUAAGUAGACCGCCUGGGGAGUACGGCCGCAAGGUUAAAACUCAAAUGAAUUGACGGGGGCCCGCACAAGCGGUGGAGCAUGUGGUUUAAUUCGAUGCAACGCGAAGAACCUUACCUGGUCUUGACAUCCACAGAAGAAUCCAGAGAUGGAUUUGUGCCUUCGGGAACUGUGAGACAGGUGCUGCAUGGCUGUCGUCAGCUCGUGUUGUGAAAUGUUGGGUUAAGUCCCGCAACGAGCGCAACCCUUAUCCUUUGUUGCCAGCGGUCCGGCCGGGAACUCAAAGGAGACUGCCAGUGAUAAACUGGAGGAAGGUGGGGAUGACGUCAAGUCAUCAUGGCCCUUACGACCAGGGCUACACACGUGCUACAAUGGCGCAUACAAAGAGAAGCGACCUCGCGAGAGCAAGCGGACCUCAUAAAGUGCGUCGUAGUCCGGAUUGGAGUCUGCAACUCGACUCCAUGAAGUCGGAAUCGCUAGUAAUCGUGGAUCAGAAUGCCACGGUGAAUACGUUCCCGGGCCUUGUACACACCGCCCGUCACACCAUGGGAGUGGGUUGCAAAAGAAGUAGGUAGCUUAACCUUCGGGAGGGCGCUUACCACUUUGUGAUUCAUGACUGGGGUGAAGUCGUAACAAGGUAACCGUAGGGGAACCUGCGGUUGGAUCACCU